RNAcentral lists this ribosomal RNA (362 nucleotides) under uncultured bacterium. RNAcentral describes it as "bacterial SSU rRNA". It matches the Rfam family "Bacterial small subunit ribosomal RNA", at positions 28 to 408 of the family's 1533-position model. The record is from RNAcentral.
GAUUAACGUUGGCGGCGUGCAUAACACAUGCAAGUUGAGCGUGGCUUUAGUUUACUAAAGUCUAGCAGCGGACGGCUGAGUAAUGCACAGGAACGUACCAUAAAGUGGGGGAUAGCCCUUCGAAAGAAGGGGUAAUACCGCAUGUGCUCGCAAGAGUAAAGCCGCAAGGCGCUUUUUGAACGGCCUGUGUCCUAUCAGGUUGUUGGUGGGGGUAAUUGCCUACCAAGCCUAUGACGGGUAGCCGGCCUGAGAGGGUGACCGGCCACACUGGGACUGAGACACGGCCCAGACUCCUACGGGAGGCAGCAGUGGGGAUAUUGCACAAUGGGCGAAAGCCUGAUGCAGCGACGCCGCGUGAGGGA